Molecule: ribosomal RNA, 2900 nt
Filed under: Clostridioides difficile
Lineage: Bacteria; Bacillati; Bacillota; Clostridia; Peptostreptococcales; Peptostreptococcaceae
Description: bacterial LSU rRNA
Rfam family: Bacterial large subunit ribosomal RNA
Source: RNAcentral
UGGUCAAGUUAUUAAGGGUGCAGGGCGGAUGCCUUGGCACUAGGAGCCGAUGAAGGACGUGAUAAGCUGCGAUAAGCUUCGGGGAGUUGCACGUAAACUUUGAUCCGAAGAUUUCCGAAUGAGGAAACUCACUUAGAGUAAUGUCUAAGUAUCAUUAAGUGAAUACAUAGCUUAAUGAGGGGAACUCAGGGAACUGAAACAUCUAAGUACCUGAAGGAAGAGAAAGAAAUUCGAUUCCGUAAGUAGCGGCGAGCGAACGCGGAUUAGCCCAAACCAAUAAAGUUUUCUUUAUUGGGGUUGCGGACAUAUCAUAACGAAGAGGUAUCGUAAUUGAAGAGGUUUGGAAAGACCCACCACAGAAGGUAAUAGUCCUGUAUGUUAAACGAGAAGACUUUAGAUAUGAUCCAGAGUACCACGGGACACGUGAAACCCUGUGGGAAGCAGGAGGGACCACCCUCCAAGGCUAAAUACUACCUAGUGACCGAUAGCGUAUAGUACCGUGAGGGAAAGGUGAAAAGAACCCCGGGAGGGGAGUGAAAUAGAACCUGAAACCCUGCACUUACAAGCUGUGGAAGCACAUUUCUUGUGUGACCGCGUACUUUUUGUAGAACGGGCCAACGAGUUACGUUAAGUAGCAAGGUUAAGCACUUAAGGUGUGGAGCCGUAGCGAAAGCGAGUUUUAACUGAGCGUUCAGUUACUUGACGUAGACCCGAAACCGGGCGACCUACCCAUGAGCAGGAUGAAGCGAAAGUAAAAUUUCGUGGAGGUCCGAACCCACGAGCGUUGAAAAGCUCGGGGAUGACUUGUGGGUAGCGGUGAAAUUCCAAUCGAGCCCGGAGAUAGCUGGUUCUCCCCGAAAUAGCUUUAGGGCUAGCCUCAAGGUGAGAGAUACGGAGGUAGAGCACUGAAUGUCCUAGGGGGUAUUGCACCUACCGAAGACUAUCAAACUCCGAAUGCCGUCAUCUUAUACUUGGGAGUCAGACUGUGGGUGAUAAGAUUCAUAGUCGAAAGGGCAACAGCCCAGAUCGUCAGCUAAGGUCCCUAAAUGUAAGUUAAGUGGUAAAGGAUGUGGGAUUGCACAGACAACCAGGAUGUUGGCUUAGAAGCAGCCACUCAUUCAAAGAGUGCGUAAUAGCUCACUGGUCGAGUGAUCCUGCGCCGAAGAUUUCCGGGGCUAAAACUUACUACCGAAGCUACGGCAUCAGUAAUGAUGGGUAGGGGAGCUUCCCAUACGGGUUGAAGCAUGACCGUAAGGACAUGUGGACAGUAUGGGAGUGAGAAUGUUGGCAUGAGUAGCGAGAUGUGGGUGAGAAUCCCACAGGCCGUAAACCCAAGGUUUCCAGGGGAAGGUUCGUCCGCCCUGGGUUAGUCGGGACCUAAGCUGAGGCCGAAAGGCGUAGGUGAUGGACAACAGGUUGAUAUUCCUGUACUACCGAUAACCGUUUGAGAGAAGGGAUGACACAGUAGGAUAAGCUAAGCACACUGUUGGUUAUGUGUGCCCAAGCAUUGAGGCAGUCAAAGUAGGCAAAUCCGCUUUGAUAAUGCUGGGAUGUGAUGGGGAGCGAAAUUUAGUAGCGAAGUAGCUGAUUUCACACUGUCAAGAAAAGUCUCUAUCGAGGUUAAAGGUACCCGUACCGCAAACCGACACAGGUGGGUGAGGAGAGUAUCCUAAGGCCAGCGAGAGAACUGUUGUUAAGGAACUCGGCAAAAUGACCCCGUAACUUAGGGAUAAGGGGUGCCACCAUCAGGUGGCCGCAGAGAAUAGGCCCAAGCGACUGUUUACCAAAAACAUAGGUUUCUGCUAAGUCGCAAGACGAUGUAUAGGAGCUGACGCCUGCCCGGUGCUGGAAGGUUAAGGGGAUCUGUUAGAGCAAUCGAAGCAGUGAACUUAAGCCCCAGUAAACGGCGGCCGUAACUAUAACGGUCCUAAGGUAGCGAAAUUCCUUGUCGGGUAAGUUCCGACCCGCACGAAAGGCGUAACGAUUUGGGCACUGUCUCAACAACAGACUCGGUGAAAUUGUAAUUCCGGUGAAGAUGCCGGAUACCUGCGACAGGACGGAAAGACCCCAUGGAGCUUUACUGUAGCUUGACAUUGGGUCUUGGUACUACAUGUACAGGAUAGGUGGGAGGCUUUGAAACCAGGACGCCAGUUUUGGCGGAGCCAUCCUUGGGAUACCACCCUUGUAGUACUGGGACUCUAACCAUAGGCCAUGAAUCUGGUCUUGGGACACUGUCAGGUGGGCAGUUUGACUGGGGCGGUCGCCUCCCAAAAGGUAACGGAGGCGCUCAAAGGUUCUCUCAGUACGGUCGGAAAUCGUACGUAGAGUGUAAAGGCAAAAGAGAGCUUGAUUGCAAGACAUACAGGUCGAGCAAGGAUGAAAAUCGGACUUAGUGAUCCGGUGGUUCUGCGUGGAAGGGCCAUCGCUCAACGGAUAAAAGCUACCCUGGGGAUAACAGGCUUAUCUCCCCCAAGAGUCCACAUCGACGGGGAGGUUUGGCACCUCGAUGUCGGCUCAUCACAUCCUGGGGCUGUAGUAGGUCCCAAGGGUUGGGCUGUUCGCCCAUUAAAGUGGUACGCGAGCUGGGUUCAGAACGUCGUGAGACAGUUCGGUCCCUAUCCGUCGCAGGCGUAGGAAAUUUGAGAAGACCUGUCCUUAGUACGAGAGGACCGGGAUGGACGUACCUCUGGUGUACCAGUUGUCCUGCCAAGGGCAUGGCUGGGUAGCUAUGUACGGAAUGGAUAAGCGCUGAAAGCAUCUAAGCGCGAAGCCAACUUCAAGAUAAGAUUUCCCACCGCAAGGGUAAGACCCCAGAAAGACUAUCUGGUUGAUAGGUCGAAGGUGUAAGUGCAGCAAUGUAUUUAGCUUAUCGAUACUAAUAGGUCGAGGACUUGACCAAU